Molecule: ribosomal RNA, 439 nt
Filed under: Olea europaea subsp. europaea
Lineage: Eukaryota; Viridiplantae; Streptophyta; Magnoliopsida; Lamiales; Oleaceae
Description: LSU_rRNA_archaea
Rfam family: Bacterial large subunit ribosomal RNA
Source: RNAcentral
CCUUUAAACAAAAGGGUACCUGUACCCAAAACUAACAAAGGUGGGCAGGUGGAGAAUAUCUAGGGGCGUGAGAUAACUUUCUCUAUGGAACUCGAUAAAAUAGCCCCGUAACUUCGGGAGAAGGGGCGCCUCCUCACAAAGGGGGUCUUAGUGACUAGGCCCGGGCGACUGCUUACCAAAAACACAAGUCUCGGCAAAGUCAUAAGACCAUGUAUGGGGGCUGACGCUUGCCCAGUGCCGGAAGGUCAAGGAAGUUGGUGACCUGAUGAUAGGGGAGCCGACGACCGAAGCCCCGGUGAACGGCGGCCGUAACUAUAACGAUCCUAAGGCAGCAAAAUUCCUUGUCAGGUAAUUUCUGACCUGCACAAAAGUCAUAACGAUCUAGGCACUGUCUCGGAGAGAGGCUCGAUGAAAUAUACAUGCCUGUGAAGAUGCGGAC